AACUGCGAGUGAAGCGGGAAAAGCUCAAAUUUAAAAUCUGGUGGUCUUUGGCCAUCCGAGUUGUAAUUUAGAGAAGCGUCUUCCGCGCCGGACCGUGCACAAGUCUCCUGGAAUGGAGCGUCAUAGAGGGUGAGAAUCCCGUCUUUGGCACGGAUGCCUGGUGCUUCUGUGAUGCGCUCUCGAAGAGUCGAGUUGUUUGGGAAUGCAGCUCAAAAUGGGUGGUGAACUCCAUCUAAAGCUAAAUAUUGGCGAGAGACCGAUAGCGAACAAGUACCGUGAGGGAAAGAUGAAAAGCACUUUGGAAAGAGAGUGAAACAGUACGUGAAAUUGUUGAAAGGGAAACGCUUGAAGUCAGUCGCGUCGACCGAGACUCAGCCUUGCCUCGGCUUGGUGUACUUCUCGGCCCGACGGGUCAGCGUCAAUUUUGCCCCUCGGAUAAUGGCAAGGGAAAGGUGGCACCUUUACGGGUGUGUUAUAGUCUCCUGUCGCAUGCGAGGGGUGGGAUUGAGGAACUCAGCGCGCACCUUGGUGUCGGGGCUUCG
RNAcentral lists this ribosomal RNA (542 nucleotides) under Lactarius orientitorminosus. Its description in RNAcentral is "LSU rRNA". It matches the Rfam family "Eukaryotic large subunit ribosomal RNA", at positions 85 to 642 of the family's 3401-position model. Lineage: Eukaryota; Fungi; Basidiomycota; Agaricomycetes; Russulales; Russulaceae. The record is from RNAcentral.